This 433-nucleotide ribosomal RNA is filed under the name uncultured bacterium. RNAcentral describes it as "partial 16S ribosomal RNA". It matches the Rfam family "Bacterial small subunit ribosomal RNA", at positions 29 to 507 of the family's 1533-position model. The record is from RNAcentral.
AACGAACGCUGGCGGCAUGCCUAACACAUGCAAGUCGAACGAGACCUUCGGGUCUAGUGGCGCACGGGUGCGUAACGCGUGGGAACCUGCCCUUAGGUUCGGAAUAACUCCCCGAAAGGGGUGCUAAUACCGGAUAAUGUCUUCGGACCAAAGAUUUAUCGCCUUUGGAUGGGCCCGCGUUGGAUUAGCUAGUUGGUAGGGUAAAAGCCUACCAAGGCGACGAUCCAUAGCUGGUCUGAGAGGAUGAUCAGCCACGCUGGGACUGAGACACGGCCCAGACUCCUACGGGAGGCAGCAGUGGGGAAUAUUGGACAAUGGGCGAAAGCCUGAUCCAGCAAUGCCGCGUGAGUGAUGAAGGCCUUAGGGUUGUAAAGCUCUUCUACCCGGGAUGAUAAUGACAGUACCGGGAGAAUAAGCUCCGGCUAACUCCGUG